AUUGAACGCUGGCGGAAUGCUUUACACAUGCAAGUCGAACGGCAGCACGGACUUCGGUCUGGUGGCGAGUGGCGAACGGGUGAGUAAUGUAUCGGAACGUGCCCAGUCGUGGGGGAUAACGUAGUGAGAAUUACGCUAAUACCGCAUACGAUCUAUGGAUGAAAGCGGGGGAUCGCAAGACCUCGCGCGAUUGGAGCGGCCGAUAUCAGAUUAGGUAGUUGGUGGGGUAAAGGCCCACCAAGCCAACGAUCUGUAGCUGGGCUGAGAGGACGACCAGCCACACUGGAACUGGGACACGGUCCAGACUCCUACGGAAGGCAGCAGCGGGGAAUUUUGGACAAUGGGCGGAAGCCUGAUCCAGCCAUUCCGCGUGCAGGAUGAAGGCCCUCGGGUUGUAAACUGCUUUUGUACAGAACGAAAAGGUUUCUACUAAUACUAGGAGCUCAUGACGGUACUGUAAGAAUAAGCACCGGCUAACUACGUGCCAGCCGCCGCCGUAA
This 500-nucleotide ribosomal RNA is filed under the name uncultured bacterium. RNAcentral's name for it is "partial 16S ribosomal RNA". It matches the Rfam family "Bacterial small subunit ribosomal RNA", at positions 30 to 523 of the family's 1533-position model. The record is from RNAcentral.